Molecule: transfer RNA, 75 nt
Filed under: Porphyromonas levii
Lineage: Bacteria; Pseudomonadati; Bacteroidota; Bacteroidia; Bacteroidales; Porphyromonadaceae
Also listed under: 1 other name
Description: tRNA-Gln
Rfam family: tRNA
About the family: Transfer RNA (tRNA) molecules are approximately 80 nucleotides in length. Their secondary structure includes four short double-helical elements and three loops (D, anti-codon, and T loops). Further hydrogen bonds mediate the characteristic L-shaped molecular structure. tRNAs have two regions of fundamental functional importance: the anti-codon, which is responsible for specific mRNA codon recognition, and the 3' end, to which the tRNAs corresponding amino acid is attached (by aminoacyl-tRNA synthetases). tRNAs cope with the degeneracy of the genetic code in two manners: having more than one tRNA (with a specific anti-codon) for a particular amino acid; and 'wobble' base-pairing, i.e. permitting non-standard base-pairing at the 3rd anti-codon position.
Source: RNAcentral
UGGGAUAUCGCCAAGUGGUAAGGCAUCAGACUUUGACUCUGACAUUCGUAGGUUCGAAUCCUGCUAUCCCAGCCA